GUUGGGAGCUCUCCCAUAUGGUCGACCUGCAGGCGGCCGCGAAUUCACUAGUGAUUAGAGUUUGAUCAUGGCUCAGAUUGAACGCUGGCGGCAGGCCUAACACAUGCAAGUCGAGCGGUAGAGAGGUGCUUGCACCUCUUGAGAGCGGCGGACGGGUGAGUAAUGCCUAGGAAUCUGCCUGGUAGUGGGGGAUAACGCUCGGAAACGGACGCUAAUACCGCAUACGUCCUACGGGAGAAAGCAGGGGACCUUCGGGCCUUGCGCUAUCAGAUGAGCCUAGGUCGGAUUAGCUAGUUGGUGGGGUAAUGGCUCACCAAGGCGACGAUCCGUAACUGGUCUGAGAGGAUGAUCAGUCACACUGGAACUGAGACACGGUCCAGACUCCUACGGGAGGCAGCAGUGGGGAAUAUUGGACAAUGGGCGAAAGCCUGAUCCAGCCAUGCCGCGUGUGUGAAGAAGGUCUUCGGAUUGUAAAGCACUUUAAGUUGGGAGGAAGGGCAUUAACCUAAUACGUUAGUGUUUUGACGUUACCGACAGAAUAAGCACCGGCUAACUCUGUGCCAGCAGCCGCGGUAAAAUCGAAUUCCCGCGGCCGCCAUGGCGCCGGGAGCAUGCGAC
This 618-nucleotide ribosomal RNA is filed under the name uncultured Gammaproteobacteria bacterium. Its description in RNAcentral is "bacterial SSU rRNA". It matches the Rfam family "Bacterial small subunit ribosomal RNA", at positions 1 to 579 of the family's 1533-position model. The record is from RNAcentral. Lineage: Bacteria; Pseudomonadati; Pseudomonadota; Gammaproteobacteria.